UCGGUAGUGAAUACAUUCUUGGGUGGUGAAU
This 31-nucleotide non-coding RNA is filed under the name Homo sapiens (human). The record is from RNAcentral. Lineage: Eukaryota; Metazoa; Chordata; Mammalia; Primates; Hominidae.